CAAUACGGCCAGCAGCCGCGGUAAUUCCAGCUCCAAUAGCGUAUAUUAAAGUUGUUGUGGUUAAAAAGCUCGUAGUUGAACCUGGGCCUCGCGCAGACCGGUCCGCCUCACCGCGUGCACUGGUCCUGCCGGGGCUUUCACUAGGGGAUUCGCAUGUCCUUCACUGGGCGUGUGCGGAACCUGGACUUUUACUGUGAAAAAAUUAGAGUGUUCAAAGCAGGCCUAUGCUCGAAUACAUUAGCAUGGAAUAAUAGAAUAGGACGUGUGGUUCUAUUUUGUUGGUUAUGGGACCGCCGUAAUGAUUAAUAGGGACAGUCGGGGGCAUCAGUAUUCAAUAGUCAGAGGUGAAAUUCUUGGAUUUAUUGAAGACUAACUACUGCGAAAGCAUUUGCCAAGGAUGUUUUCAUUAAUCAGGAACGAAAGUUAGGGGAUCGAAGACGAUCAGAUACCGUCGUAGUCUUAACCAUAAACUAUGCCGACUAGGGAUCGGGCGAUGUUACUUUUUGACUCGCUCGGCACCUUACGAGAAAUCAAAGUCUGUGGGUUCCUGGGGGAGUAUGGUGGCAACGCUGAAACUUAAAGAAAUUGACGGAAGGGCACCACCAGGAGUAAACCUUUGCUACAAUUAUAUUUUCGAAAUGCCGCAGUAGCUCUGCUCCAAAAAGCAGCCCGAAAGGGUGAGGUGGUUUCAGCCCGGGUCGCCUCGUGCGGUCCGAAUCUAAAUGCUAGUCCGCCUCGGCGGGCGACACGCUCAAAUUGCGGGGAACUCCUAAAGCUCCAGCCACCAAGCCGCCGUGCGAAAGCCGGUGGCGGCCAGGUUAAUUGCCUCGGGUACGGUAAUAGUGCUGGAGAUGCUACAAUGGAUGAUCCGCAGCCAAGCCCCUAAGGCGCCUUGCGCUACGGGGAAGGUUCAGAGACUAGACGGGUGUGGGUCCCGCGGCCGCGGCCGCGGGGCUUAAGGUAUAGUCCGGCCGACGUCGAAAGGCGUCGGGGCCAGCUG
Molecule: ribosomal RNA, 1000 nt
Filed under: Paralulworthia gigaspora
Lineage: Eukaryota; Fungi; Ascomycota; Sordariomycetes; Lulworthiales; Lulworthiaceae
Description: SSU rRNA
Rfam family: Eukaryotic small subunit ribosomal RNA (bases 1-662)
Source: RNAcentral